UUUUAAUUUGGUUCUGGUUAACUAAUUAGCUUUUUUGUUAGAUAACACAUGCAAAUACCUGUAAACCCGUAAAACUAGGAGGAUACACCAAUCUAAAAGAAGAAAACCUCAAUUUAUGUUAAUUCUUAUAACAAUUGAAGACUACGCCUGCAGUGAAAAAUACUGAUAUAAUUAUGAAAAUAAGAUACGGUAAACAAAAGAAGGACUGACCAAAUGCGUGCCAGCAGUCGCGGUUAGACGAUAGGUCCGAGUUAAUUGCAACGGAGAAAUGAAGCUUCAACCACAGAUAGUAAAAAGAAAACAAAGGUACAAUUUUACAGCCGAAUAAAUAUAACUAUCUUCAUACCCAUUCAACAAAGUUCAGACCAAAACGAGGAUUAGAGACCCUUUUAUUCUUAACCCCACUUUACUCUCCUGGCACUACGAGCACAUGCUUAAAACCUAAAAAACUUGGCGGUGUAUUCAACAUACUAGGGGAGCCUGUUUUAUAACCGAUGAUCCGCGUUCUUCUUCACCUAAGCUUGAAAUUCAGCCUGUGUACUGCCGUCUAAAGUUUACAUAGCGAUGUUGGAGCCUAAAAGAUGACCUCUCCCAUGUCAGGUCGAAGUGCAGCUAAUGCUUAGGACGAAAUGGGCUACAUUUUAAAUACAUACGAAUUGAUUUAAUAACUUAUUCAUGAAGCCGGACUUAGCAGUAAAAUGUAAAUAAUACAUACACUUGAAGAGGCAAAUUGAAGCGUGCACAAAUCGCCCGUCGCUCUUUCUGAAAAGAAAGAUAAGUCGUAACACAGUUAGUGUAAUGGAAAUUGCACUUACCGGAAU
This 821-nucleotide ribosomal RNA is filed under the name Glycera fallax. RNAcentral's name for it is "12S ribosomal RNA". Lineage: Eukaryota; Metazoa; Annelida; Polychaeta; Phyllodocida; Glyceridae. The record is from RNAcentral.